Molecule: long non-coding RNA, 226 nt
Filed under: Sorghum bicolor (sorghum)
Lineage: Eukaryota; Viridiplantae; Streptophyta; Magnoliopsida; Poales; Poaceae
Description: long non-coding RNA (SBIC_LNC002494)
Source: RNAcentral
CUAAAAAGAAUAAAAAGGAGCAGAAAAAGAAAGAAGCUCCCGAAAAGAAAAUCCAAGAAAAGAGGGACGAAGUCCCCGAACCCUCACAAAAGAAGACAGUGUGGAAGGUAAAAGAAAAAAGUUGAACAAACCGCCACACUGCCCAAGGUGAUCCACCUAGAAUGGAAGCCCAAGAAGGUCCAACCAUCUCCUCCUCCCAAGACGGAUGAUCCAUCAUCAAGCAAAC